AGGGUUUGAUCCUGGCUCAGAGCGAACGCUGGCGGCGUGCUUAACACAUGCAAGUCGAACGAACGUAAGUGAGUGGCGAAAGGGUGAGUAAUGCAUAGAUAACCUACCCUUGGGACGGGGAUAACUCAGGGAAACCCGAGCUAAUACCCGAUAUGACUACGAUGUCACCUGGCAACGUGGUAAAAUGCUCCGACGCCCAAGGAGGGGUCUGUGUCCUACCAGCUAGUUGGUGAGGUAAUGGCUCACCAAGGCAUCGACGGGUAGCAGGUCUGAGAGGAUGGUCUGCCACACUGGGACUGAGACACUGCCCAGACUCCUACGGGAGGCUGCAGUGGGGAAUUUUGGGCAAUGAGCGAAGGCUUGACCCAGCGACGCCGCGUGCACGAAGAAGGCCUUCGGGUUGUAAAGUGCUGUCACGGGGUAAGAAAGGAACCUUCGGGUUCUUGACGUUCCCUCGAGAGGAAGCUCUGGCUAAACACGUGCCAGCAGCCGCGGUAAUACGUGUAGAGCUAGCGUUGCUCGGAUUCACUGGGCUUAAAGGGUGUGUAGGCGGCUUUGUAAGUAAGGUGUGAAAUACUACGGCUUAACCGUAGAAUUGCGCUUUAUACUGCAAAGCUAGAGUGCUGGAGAGGAUGGCGGAAUUCUGGGUGUAGCGGUGAAAUGCAUAGAUAUCCAGGAGAACGCCGGUGACGAAGGUGGCCAUCUGGCCGGUAACUGACGCUGAAACACAAAAGCCAGGGGAGCGAACGGGAUUAGAUACCCCGGUAGUCCUGGCCCUAAACGAUGUGCACUUGGUGGUGGGAAUACUAGAUUUUCAUUGCCGUAGCGAAAGCGUUAAGUGCACCGCCUGGGGAGUACGCUCGCAAGGGUAAAACUCAAAGGAAUUGGCGGGAGCUUACACAAGCGGUGGAGCAUGUUGUUUAAUUCGAUCCUACGCGAGGAACCUUACCCGGGUUUGACAUGUAUGUGGUAAUAAGCCGAAAGGUAUGUGACCUUGCUUUUGUAAGGAGCAUACACAGGUGCUGCAUGGCUGUCGUCAGCUCGUGUCGUGAGAUGUCGCGUAAAGUCGCUUAACGAGCGCAACCCUUGCUCUUAGUUGCCAGCGAGUAAUGUCGGGGACUCUAGGAGGACUGCCGGUGUCAAACCGGAGGAAGGUGGGGACGACGUCAAGUCAUCAUGGCCCUUACGCCCGGGGCUACAAACGUGCUACAAUGACAGGUACAAAGGGAUGCGAAACCGUGAGGUCAAGCAAACCCCAAAAAGCCUGCCCCAGUUCGGAUUGGAGGCUGAAACUCGCCUCCAUGAAGGUGGAAUCGCUAGUAAUCGCGGAUCAGCAAUGCCGCGGUGAAUCCGUUCCUAAGCUUUGUACACACCGCCCGUCAAGCCACGAAAGUCGGGAGCGCCUGAAGUCGCUAGCCUAACCGCAAGGAGGGCGGCGCCCACGGUGAGACCGGUAAUUGGGACUAAGUCGAAACAAGGUA
Molecule: ribosomal RNA, 1481 nt
Filed under: metagenome
Description: bacterial SSU rRNA
Rfam family: Bacterial small subunit ribosomal RNA
Source: RNAcentral